CCUACGGGUGGCUGCAGUGGGGAAUAUUGCACAAUGGGCGCAAGCCUGAUGCAGCCAUGCCGCGUGUGUGAAGAAGGCCUUCGGGUUGUAAAGCACUUUCAGCGGGGAGGAAGGCGGUGAGGUUAAUAACCUCAUCGAUUGACGUUACCCGCAGAAGAAGCACCUGCUAACUCCGUGCCAGCAGCCGCGGUAAUACGGAGGGUGCAAGCGUUAAUCGGAAUUACUGGGCGUAAAGCGCACGCAGGCGGUCUGUCAAGUCGGAUGUGAAAUCCCCGGGCUCAACCUGGGAACUGCAUUCGAAACUGGCAGGCUAGAGUCUUGUAGAGGGGGGUAGAAUUCCAGGUGUAGCGGUGAAAUGCGUAGAGAUCUGGAGGAAUACCGGUGGCGAAGGCGGCCCCCUGGACAAAGACUGACGCUCAGGUGCGAAAGCGUGGGGAGCAAACAGGAUUAGAUACCCGGGUAGUC
Molecule: ribosomal RNA, 465 nt
Filed under: uncultured Klebsiella sp.
Lineage: Bacteria; Pseudomonadati; Pseudomonadota; Gammaproteobacteria; Enterobacterales; Enterobacteriaceae
Description: bacterial SSU rRNA
Rfam family: Bacterial small subunit ribosomal RNA
Source: RNAcentral